AGUCGAACGAACUUCCGUUAAUUGAUUAUGACGUACUUGUACUGAUUGAGAUUUUAACACGAAGUGAGUGGCGAACGGGUGAGUAACACGUGGGUAACCUGCCCAGAAGUAGGGGAUAACACCUGGAAACAGAUGCUAAUACCGUAUAACAGAGAAAACCGCAUGGUUUUCUUUUAAAAGAUGGCUCUGCUAUCACUUCUGGAUGGACCCGCGGCGUAUUAGCUAGUUGGUGAGGUAAAGGCUCACCAAGGCAGUGAUACGUAGCCGACCUGAGAGGGUAAUCGGCCACAUUGGGACUGAGACACGGCCCAGACUCCUACGGGAGGCAGCAGUAGGGAAUCUUCCACAAUGGACGCAAGUCUGAUGGAGCAACGCCGCGUGAGUGAAGAAGGGUUUCGGCUCGUAAAGCUCUGUUGUUAAGAAGAACGUGGGUAAGAGUAACUGUUUACCCAGUGACGGUAUUUAACCAGAAAGCCACGGCUAACUACGUGCCAGCAGCCGCGGUAAUACGUAGGUGGCAAGCGUUAUCCGGAUUUAUUGGGCGUAAAGCGAGCGCAGGCGGUCUUUUAAGUCUAAUGUGAAAGCCUUCGGCUCAACCGAAGAAGUGCAUUGGAAACUGGGAGACUUGAGUGCAGAAGAGGACAGUGGAACUCCAUGUGUAGCGGUGAAAUGCGUAGAUAUAUGGAAGAACACCAGUGGCGAAGGCGGCUGUCUGGUCUGCAACUGACGCUGAGGCUCGAAAGCAUGGGUAGCGAACAGGAUUAGAUACCCUGGUAGUCCAUGCCGUAAACGAUGAUUACUAAGUGUUGGAGGGUUUCCGCCCUUCAGUGCUGCAGCUAACGCAUUAAGUAAUCCGCCUGGGGAGUACGACCGCAAGGUUGAAACUCAAAAGAAUUGACGGGGGCCCGCACAAGCGGUGGAGCAUGUGGUUUAAUUCGAAGCUACGCGAAGAACCUUACCAGGUCUUGACAUCUUCUGACAGUCUAAGAGAUUAGAGGUUCCCUUCGGGGACAGAAUGACAGGUGGUGCAUGGUUGUCGUCAGCUCGUGUCGUGAGAUGUUGGGUUAAGUCCCGCAACGAGCGCAACCCUUAUUACUAGUUGCCAGCAUUAAGUUGGGCACUCUAGUGAGACUGCCGGUGACAAACCGGAGGAAGGUGGGGACGACGUCAAAUCAUCAUGCCCCUUAUGACCUGGGCUACACACGUGCUACAAUGGAUGGUACAACGAGUCGCGAGACCGCGAGGUUAAGCUAAUCUCUUAAAACCAUUCUCAGUUCGGACUGUAGGCUGCAACUCGCCUACACGAAGUCGGAAUCGCUAGUAAUCGCGGAUCAGCAUGCCGCGGUGAAUACGUUCCCGGGCCUUGUACACACCGCCCGUCACACCAUGAGAGUUUGUAACACCCAAAGCC
This 1411-nucleotide ribosomal RNA is filed under the name Pediococcus pentosaceus. RNAcentral describes it as "bacterial SSU rRNA". It matches the Rfam family "Bacterial small subunit ribosomal RNA", at positions 60 to 1428 of the family's 1533-position model. The record is from RNAcentral. Lineage: Bacteria; Bacillati; Bacillota; Bacilli; Lactobacillales; Lactobacillaceae.